RNAcentral lists this ribosomal RNA (503 nucleotides) under uncultured bacterium. Its description in RNAcentral is "bacterial SSU rRNA". It matches the Rfam family "Bacterial small subunit ribosomal RNA", at positions 30 to 528 of the family's 1533-position model. The record is from RNAcentral.
AUUGAACGCUGGCGGCAUGCCUUACACAUGCAAGUCGAACGGUAACAGGUCUUCGGAUGCUGACGAGUGGCGAACGGGUGAGUAAUACAUCGGAACGUGCCCGAGAGUGGGGGAUAACGAAGCGAAAGCUUUGCUAAUACCGCAUACGAUCUCAGGAUGAAAGCAGGGGACCGCAAGGCCUUGCGCUCACGGAGCGGCCGAUGGCAGAUUAGGUAGUUGGUGGGAUAAAAGCUUACCAAGCCGACGAUCUGUAGCUGGUCUGAGAGGACGACCAGCCACACUGGGACUGAGACACGGUCCAGACUCCUACGGGAGGCAGCAGUGGGGAAUAUUGCACAAUGGGCGCAAGCCUGAUGCAGCCAUGCCGCGUGUAUGAAGAAGGCCUUCGGUUGUAAGUACUUUACUAGCGGGAGGAAGGGAGGUAAAGGUUAAGUAACCUUUAGUCUCAUUGACGUUACCCGUCCACGAAGAAGACGAACCGGCGUAACUACCGUUGGCCACGC